This 452-nucleotide long non-coding RNA is filed under the name Salvia miltiorrhiza (redroot sage). RNAcentral's name for it is "long non-coding RNA (SMIL_LNC004505)". Lineage: Eukaryota; Viridiplantae; Streptophyta; Magnoliopsida; Lamiales; Lamiaceae. The record is from RNAcentral.
UAUGGAAUUGAAAAGGGCGACGAAUAUGACUUUGAAAUCUUUCCUACGAAAUCUGACUUCGCGGCAGCGGGGGAAGUAACGAGUGCGGCGAGGGAUGGAGGCGACGCCGUCAGAAGGUGGCGGGGAUGGUGGCGCGCAGAGAUGGUGGCGGAGAAGCUUUGUGCAGCGAGGAGAAGUUAGGGCACUGUUACAUUACGUUUUUUUGACUUCUUUUCCUGAAUUCGUCCAAUCUCACUUUCUGACUUCACGGCAGCGGGGAAAGUAACGAGUGCGGCGAGGGAUGGAGGCGACGCCGCCGGAAGGUGGCGGAGAUGGUGGCGCGCAGAGAUGGUGGCGGAGAAGACUAGCUUGUGCAGCGAAUUGAAGAGGAGAAGUUAGGGCACUGUUACGUUUUGUGACUUCUCGUUUCCUGAAUUCAUUUAAUUUUGGGUUCUUUUCUUUUCAGGUUUUUU